GACGAACGCUGGCGGCGUGCUUAACACAUGCAAGUCGAACGGAAAGGCCCUGCUUUUGUGGGGUGCUCGAGUGGCGAACGGGUGAGUAACACGUGAGUAACCUGCCCUUGACUUUGGGAUAACUUCAGGAAACUGGGGCUAAUACCGGAUAGGAGCUCUUGCUGCAUGGUGGGGGUUGGAAAGUUUCGGCGGUUGGGGAUGGAUUCGCGGCUUAUCAGCUUGUUGGUGGGGUAGUGGCUUACCAAGGCUUUGACGGGUAGCCGGCCUGAGAGGGUGACCGGCCACAAUGGGACUGAGAUACGGCCCAGACUCCUACGGGAGGCAGCAGUGGGGAAUAUUGCACAAUGGGCGGAAGCCUGAUGCAGCAACGCCGCGUGCGGGAUGACGGCCUUCGGGUUGUAAACCGCUUUCGCCUGUGACGAAGCGUGAGUGACGGUAAUGGGUAAAGAAGCACCGGCUAACUACGUG
RNAcentral lists this ribosomal RNA (468 nucleotides) under uncultured bacterium. RNAcentral describes it as "partial 16S ribosomal RNA". It matches the Rfam family "Bacterial small subunit ribosomal RNA", at positions 28 to 507 of the family's 1533-position model. The record is from RNAcentral.